RNAcentral lists this ribosomal RNA (820 nucleotides) under Nannaria wilsoni. RNAcentral's name for it is "partial large subunit ribosomal RNA". It matches the Rfam family "Eukaryotic large subunit ribosomal RNA", at positions 125 to 605 of the family's 3401-position model. The record is from RNAcentral. Lineage: Eukaryota; Metazoa; Arthropoda; Diplopoda; Polydesmida; Xystodesmidae.
UCAUCUUGGCAGGGUGCAAUGUGGUGUUCGGGAGGGUCCAUUCGCGCCUUGAGCUCUGGUGUCCAAGUCCCCCUGACCGGGGCCAUCGCCCGUUGAGGGUGCAAGGCCUGUUGGGCAGGGCUGUGUCUCCGAUCUCGGCGCGUCGGGUCCCUUCCUUGGAGUCGGGUUGCUUGAGAGUGCAGCCCAAAGUGGGUGGUAAACUCCACCUAAGGCUAAAUACUUUCCACGAGACCGAUAGCAAACAAGUACCGUGAGGGAAAGUUGCAAAGAACUUUGAAGAGAGAGUUCAAGAGUGCGUGAAACCGUUCGGAGGUAAACGGGUGGGAGCGCGAAGGUCGAACGGAUGGGGAGGGAUUCAACUUGGCGUGGCGGCUGGCCGAGCUUGGUUCGUGUCUGGGCGUGCGGGCUCUCCCUUAACGGGGAGCUGCCUGCCGCCCCGCGUUCCGCUCCGGCCGUAGUCCGCCGUGCCUUGUGCAUUUCCCUAUUACCGCUCCCCCAGUAGGACGCCACGACAGCCUGUCCAUUGGAACCCAAGAGAUGGCGAGAUCUGCAGCGCGGACGAGUAAGGGAUCAGUUCUCUGCGUCCGGUCUGUCUGUCUCCUUCCGCCCGCGGGUCGCUCCCUCCGGCCGAGGAACUGUGCGAGCUGGGCCCCUUCGGGGGUCCCUCGUCCAUGUGCGUGCCCACGAUCUGUCGGUGCGGGUCGAAAGAUCCCAACGGGUGGCGGCGGGUGGCCGCGCGCCAGUCUCCGGACUGCGCGUGCGGACUCCGCGUGUCAGCCGCCGUCGGUCAGGGUGCGGACUCCCGCAGUUGGGCGCUGGG